Molecule: ribosomal RNA, 773 nt
Filed under: Polyporales sp. 'phlebioid clade' TC19
Lineage: Eukaryota; Fungi; Basidiomycota; Agaricomycetes; Polyporales
Description: eukaryotic LSU rRNA
Rfam family: Eukaryotic large subunit ribosomal RNA (bases 566-773)
Source: RNAcentral
UAACGAGUUUUGAAAGGGGUUGUAGCUGGCCUUUCACGAGGCAUGUGCACACCCUGCUCUUCCACUCUCAACCUCUGUGCACUAUUGUAGGCUUGGUGAAAGGCGUUGACUCGCAAGGGUCAGCUGCCGGAAGCCUUGUCUAUGUUUCACUACAAACGCUUCAGUUAUAGAAUGUAACACUUGCGGAUAACGCAUUUAUAUACAACUUUCAGCAACGGUCCCUUGGCUCUCGCAUCGAUGAAGAACGCAGCGAAAUGCGAUAAGGAAUGUGAAUUGCAGAACUCAGCGAAUCAUCGAAUCUUUGAACGCACCUUGCGCUCCCUGGUAUUCCGGGGAGCACGCCUGUUUGAGUGUCAUGGUAUUCUCAACCUUCGUAACUUUUUGUUAUCGAAGGCUUGGACUUGGAGGUCGUGCUGGCUCUCGUUAGUCGGCUCCUCUUAAAUGCAUUAGCGUGAACGUUUACGGAUCGCUAUCAGUGUGAUAAUUAUCUGCGCUGUUAGUGUUGAAGUAUGGCAUAGUGUCUCGCUUCUAACCGUCCUUCAGUUGGACAACAACACCUGACAUCUGACCUCAAAUCAGGCGGGACUACCCGCUGAACUUAAGCAUAUCAAUAAGCGGAGGAAAAGAAACUAACAAGGAUUCCCCUAGUAACUGCGAGUGAAGCGGGAAAAGCUCAAAUUUAAAAUCUGGCAGUCUUCAUUGUCCGAGUUGUAGUCUGGAGAAGCGUCUUCCGCGCUGGACCGUGUACAAGUCUCCUGGAACGGAGCGUCAUA